UUGAACGCUGGCGGCAUGCUUUACACAUGCAAGUCGAACGGUAACAGCACUUCGGUGGCUGACGAGUGGCGAACGGGUGAGUAAUACAUCGGAACGUGCCUAGUAGUGGGGGAUAACUACUCGAAAGAGUAGCUAAUACCGCAUGAGAUCUAAGGAUGAAAGCAGGGGACCUUCGGGCCUUGCGCUACUAGAGCGGCUGAUGGCAGAUUAGGUAGUUGGUGGGAUAAAAGCUUACCAAGCCGACGAUCUGUAGCUGGUCUGAGAGGACGACCAGCCACACUGGGACUGAGACACGGCCCAGACUCCUACGGGAGGCAGCAGUGGGGAAUUUUGGACAAUGGGCGCAAGCCUGAUCCAGCAAUGCCGCGUGCAGGAUGAAGGCCUUCGGGUUGUAAACUGCUUUUGUACGGAACGAAAAGCCCUCUUCUAAUACAGGAGGGUCAUGACGGUACCGUAAGAAUAAGCACCGGCUAACUACGUG
RNAcentral lists this ribosomal RNA (481 nucleotides) under uncultured bacterium. RNAcentral's name for it is "partial 16S ribosomal RNA". It matches the Rfam family "Bacterial small subunit ribosomal RNA", at positions 30 to 507 of the family's 1533-position model. The record is from RNAcentral.